GCCCCCGGCCCGCCCCCGCCGCUCCUCCCCACUCCCGCCCCCGGCCCGAUCACUGGCCGUCGUGCUGGGCGGACCCCGGGACCGGUCCCCACCCCUGCUCCGCCCCCUCCGGGUAGGAAACUCCGAGGAGUGAUUCACGCGUGAUUCAACCGCGCCACCGAGCGCGGUGCUGCCCUUCGGUCCGGCGGCUCCAGGUGCUGCGGGGAACCGGGUCCCCCGGCCCCCAGCGCUCCCCGCCCGGUCCCCGGGUCGCCCAGACCGGCGACCCCGACGUCCGGCCUGAGCGGGCAGGUCUUGGGGCUGAAAGCGGGGGCGCUUUGGAAGCAGUUCUCGAGGUGGAGGGAAAGGAUUCUUCUCUACCGUUUGGAGACCCAGUGCUGUCCCGGCCGGUGGGAGCGGCAGCACUGACGGGGUCUAACGGCAGGUCAGUGGGAGGUGCUGUUCCGGGAGGAAGAGAACUUGAGAGGGAACGGCUCAGAAGGUGAAGCACAGAGCAUUUUCUGCGACUCUCCUACGUGCCUGUAAGACUCUUCUGCGAAAACUCACUGGGUUCUCCCUUCACCUAAAAGCUCCUGAAACCUCCAUUCUUCAAAGUGUUCUUCAUCAAGAAGGGAUGUUCACAGAAACUAUAAUCCUUAGAAGAAGGAGGACUGCAGACACUGAAGGGGAGAAGAGCGUUUUCCUGGCAAGAGCAGAGUGUUUCAGGAGGAGGUGACGACAGGCAUGGAGAUUGGAAAGAGAGGUGCUGGGCCAAAGGAAAAGAAGCUUCUGGUCCAACAGAGACAAGAAUUUGGAUUGAUGGAGCCUAACAGCAUGAGGAUGCUUCCUUGGGAACCUUGACAACAUAUUGUGAGGAAGCCCAUGCCACACGGAGAAGCUGACAUGGAGAGGAACUCAACCUUCCCGCCAGCAGGCAGUUCCAAUUUGCCAGGCAUGUCUGACUUUUCUCCUGCACUGCCUCCUUCCUGCCUGGGGCAACCGGGGACUCAGCCUCUGCCCUGUGAGAGAAGAGAGACGAGAUUCACCUAGUGAAUUCCUUGUGGCCCAAGUGCAAGAGGCUGGAAGGACCUCCUCUAGAGAAGCACUGCACAGGAGACGCGUCGGCAGAGCGAGGCGCUAAUUAGGACGCGCGCAGGAUCCUGGCUGAGCCGGGGCCUGCGCUGGAGCAGCCGCGGAUUCCGCGCUUCGGUCGGCGAGAUGGGCAUCCCGGGAACCACCACCGCGCAGGUGGUGGACGCCGAGGGCCUGGGAACACGGCGGCCCUCCCGCUGACAGGUUUCUGCAGAGAGAACCCCCCGGAAAAGAGAGUGGAGACCUCAGAUUUAUAGGAAGUGCACAGAUACGACAUGGCUAUUCCUCUUCUUUCUCUUUUGGACUGGUUUGCUGUUCAUCAUGGGCUACUCGAUGGUGGCGGGAGCCACGGGAAGACUCCUCUUUGGCUAUGACAGCUUUGGCAACGUGUGUGGCAAGAAGAACUCCCCUGUAGAAGGGGCCCCUCUUUCAGGGCAGGACAUGACCCUGAAAAGACACGUAUUCUUUAUGAAUUCCUGCAACCCGGAAGUCAAGGACAUGAGGCUCAGUUCCACCAUCCUGUGCGUGUCGAGCUGUCCUGAAGAGCAGCUUGAUACCCUGGAAGAGGUCCAGCUCUUUGCAGACAAGAAUGGGUCCUUCCUGUGUGUUUACAGUUUGAAUUCCAUCAACUACACCCAGAAUCCAAAUGCAGACUCAUUGUGUCCCAGGCUGCCCGUUCCUCCGAGCAAGUCUUUCCCCUUGUUUAACAGAUGCGUCCCUCAAACACCGGAGUGCUAUUCCUUGUUUGCAUCUGUUUUGAUAAAUGAUGUUGACACCCUCCAUCAAAUUCUAAGUGGAAUAAUGUCAGGAAGAGACACAAUCCUUGGUCUGUGUAUCCUCGCAUUAGCCUUGUCUUUGGCCAUGAUGUUCACCUUCUGGUUCAUCACCACCCUUCUGGUUCACAUUUUCAUUGCACUGAUUAUUUCGGGACUGCUGUUUGUCUGUGGUGUCUUAUGGUGGCUGUAUUACGACUAUACCCAUGACCUCAGCAUAGAAUUGGACACAGAAAGGGAAAAUAUGAAGUGUUUGCUGGGGUUUGCUCUUGUAUCUACAGUAAUGACGGCAGUUCUGCUCAGCUUGAUUUUUGUCUUCAGAAAGAGAAUAAAAUUGACAGUCGAACUUUUCCAAGUCAUAAAUAAAGCCAUCAGCAACUCUCCAUUCCUGCUGUUCCAACCACUAUGGACUUUUGCCAUCCUCAUUUUCUUCUGGGUCCUCUGGGUGGCCGUGCUCCUGAGCCUGGGAACUGCAGGAGCUGCACAGGUUAUUGAAGGUGGCCAAGUGGAAUAUAAGCCUAUUUUAGGCAUUCGGUAUAUGUGGUGGUACCAUUUGAUUGGCCUCAUCUGGACUAGCGAAUUCAUCCUUGCGUGCCAGCAAAUGACUGUAGCCGGCGCACUUGUUACUUGCUAUUUCAACAGAAAUAAAAAUGACCCUCCUGAUCACCCAAUCCUUUGGUCUCUCUCCACUCUUUUCUGCUACCAUCAAGGAACAGCCAUAAAAGGGUCAUUUUUAAUCACUGUGGCAAGGAUUCCAAGAACCAUCCUCAAGUACAUUUACAACACUCUGAAAGACAAGCAUAAUGCAUGGUCGACGCACAUGUUCAGAUGCUGCUUCUGCUGUUUCUGGUGUCUUGACAAAUGCCUAUGCCAUCUCAACCAGAAUGCGUAUGCUGCAACUGCCAUUAAUGGGACAGAUUUUUGUACAUCAGCAAAAGAUGCGCUCAAACUCUUAUCCAAGAAUUCAAGUCAUUUCACAUCUGUUAACUGCUUUGGAGACUUCAUAAUUUUUCUAGGAAAGGUGUUGGUGAUGUGUCUCACUGUUUUUGGAGGACUGAUGGCAUUUAACUACAACCGUGCCCUCCAGGUGUGGGCAGUCCCUCUGCUGCUGGUUGCUUUUUUUGCCUACUUUGUAGCCCAUAGUUUCUUAUCUGUGUUUGAAACUGUGCUGGAUGCACUCUUCCUGUGUUUUGCUGUUGAUCUGGAAACAAAUGAUGGAUCAUCGGAAAAGCCCUACUUUAUGGACCAAGAGUUUUUGAGUUUUGUAAAAAGGAUCAACAAGUUAAAAGACACGAGGGCACAGGGGGAGGAGAACUCACUAAGGAACGAGGAGGGAACAGAACUCCAGCCCGUUGUGUGAUAGGUGCCCAUUAGAGUGUUGCCCCUGGAAAGUGUCCUUCUUCUAAGAGCCAUUCACAGAAUAAAUGGUUUCUCAUAUGCAAAAUGGAGAAAAUACCACCUACUUUGGAUUUAGGAGAGGAUUCAACAUAACCAAUGUAAAAAGCACAGCGUAAUGUGGGCACCCUGGAGAGUUACAUGUGAGUACCUAUUAUGACCACAUACACUCUCCAGGCCAUCCAUUUCAGAAGCUCAUCACACAUUCAGCAGAACUUAUGCCAAGCAGUCCUUAAGGCCUGAAGUCUCAAAGAGCCAGCCACAAGUACAGUAACUCAUUUCUCCAUUUAUGCCAAGCAGACAGUCCAGGUUUAACUGGUAAAAAAGGAAACUUGAAUGGCUCCUAUACAAGACAGUGCCACAUGUGGCAGGACAUCUCAACUUUAGGUCACAAGGAGAAAGCUUUUUCAAACCUUAUCCCCCACUCCUGUUGGAUGUGAGCCCUGCCUGCUCUCCAGUGGUUAUGGGAACCUCCCUAUGAGGGGCUGAUCUAUUUUUAACAAGGAAAUACUUCCAUCUUGCAUGGUGUUAGAAUGCUGGCAUUCUCACCAUGCUAGAGCCCCACCUAACUCCUCCUUAGAACACCAGAUCAUUUUACCUACCAAGUUUCAGAGGCAUUAGAAGGAGCAAUUUACUUGGAUCUGGAGCAAGAAAUAAACUUGCUAUAAUAAACGUAUCUCUUUUCUUCUGGUUAGACGGAAAGACCAGCUGUUCUGACUGCCAACACACCAUACUUGUGUUCCUAUAGAAAGGUCCUCUGAUUCUUUUGCUUUCUCAGCAAAACCAACUUUCCUGAAGGAAUGUACUUUAUACCGUACAAAAAAUAUGUCCUUCGAACUUAGUUAAGUGUGGGAUGCCUGCGUGGCUCAGUUGGUUAAGCAUCCAACUUCAGCUUGGGUCAUGAUCUCACUGUUCCUGAGUUCAAGCCCCACAUCAGGCUUCCUGCUGUCAGCACAGAGCCCUAUGUCGUGCCCCCCCCCCCCCCCGCCUUGCUCCCUCUCUAAAAAUUAAACAUUAAAAAGAGAGUAAGUUAAGUGCUAAUUUAAAUGAUCCUUCUCUACUCUUUGCUCCAAGUAUAAAAAGGCACUGCUUACC
This is an RNA transcript of Herpailurus yagouaroundi (jaguarundi), 4334 nucleotides long. It is a transcript of the gene named solute carrier family 44 member 3, with no coding region annotated. The record is from RefSeq and is a predicted model, not a curated record. The transcript has 22 exons. Lineage: Eukaryota; Metazoa; Chordata; Mammalia; Carnivora; Felidae.